RNAcentral lists this transfer RNA (66 nucleotides) under Calineuria stigmatica. RNAcentral's name for it is "tRNA-Tyr". It matches the Rfam family "tRNA". From Rfam's summary of the family: Transfer RNA (tRNA) molecules are approximately 80 nucleotides in length. Their secondary structure includes four short double-helical elements and three loops (D, anti-codon, and T loops). Lineage: Eukaryota; Metazoa; Arthropoda; Insecta; Plecoptera; Perlidae. The record is from RNAcentral.
GGUAAGGUGGCUGAGACUUUAGGCACUAGAUUGUAAAUCUAGAUAGGAGGGGUAACCUCUCUUACC